GAGAGAGAGAGAGAGAGAGAGAGGAGAGAGAGAGAAAUCACACAAAGAGAGGAAGAGAGAGAGAGAGAGAGAGGAGAGAGAGAGAAAUCACACAAAGAGAGGAAGAGAGAGAGAGAGAGGAGGAGAGAGAGAGAGAGAGGGCGAGAGACAUCACACAAAGAGAGGAAGAGAGAGAGAGGGGCGAGAGACAUCACACAAAGAGAGGAAGAGAGAGAGAGGGCGAGAGACAUCACACAAAGAGAGGAAGAGAGAGAGAGAGAGGAGGAGAGAGAGAGAGAGGAGAGAGAGAGAGAGGAGGAGAGACAUCACACAAAGAGAGGAAGAGAGAGAGAGAGGAGGAGAGAGAGAAAGGAGAGAGAGAGAGAGGAGGAGAGACAUCACACAAAGAGAGGAAGAGAGAGAGAGAGGAGGAGAGAGAGAGGAGGAGAGACAUCACACAAAGAGAGGAAGAGAGAGAGAGAGGAGGAGAGAGAGAAAGGAGAGAGAGAGAGAGGAGGAGAGACAUCACACAAAGAGAGGAAGAGAGAGAGAGAGGAGGAGAGAGAGAGGAGGAGAGACAUCACACAAAGAGAGGAAGAGAGAGAGAGAGGAGGAGAGAGAGAGAGAGGAGAGAGAGAGAGAGGGCGAGAGACAUCACACAAAGAGAGGAAGAGAGAGAGAGAGAGGAGGAGAGAGAGAGAGAGGAGAGAGAGAGAGGAGGAGAGACAUCACACAAAGAGAGGAAGAGAGAGAGAGAGGAGGAGAGACAUCACACAAAGAGAGGAAGAGAGAGAGAGAGGAGGAGAGAGAGAAAGGGCGAGAGACAUCACACAAAGAGAGGAAGAGAGAGAGAGAGGAGGAGAGAGAGAAAGGGCGAUCGAGGUUUCCUUCCAGAUGACUUCACCAGACAAACAUGAGAGAGAGAGAGAGACUGUCAGUGAACCUCUCUCUCUCUCCACACACACACACACACACGGUCUCCAUGGUAACAGAUCCUGCCCUCUGGGUGUGGUAGAGAGACCAGAGAGAGAGAGAGUUAACCCUUUCAGUGUCUCUGGAACGUUUUUGUGUUUAUCUGUUUGCUUUUGUGCUUAUCAGAUUUUUAAAUGUGAUCAAACUUUAUUUCUGUGA
RNAcentral lists this long non-coding RNA (1110 nucleotides) under Sparus aurata (gilthead seabream). RNAcentral describes it as "lncRNA (ENSSAUG00010026913.1)". Lineage: Eukaryota; Metazoa; Chordata; Actinopteri; Spariformes; Sparidae. The record is from RNAcentral.